CCGAACUCCGGAAGUAGUCGAGGAAGCGGAGGCGCCCGAGUCUCAUCGUCUGCUGGUGUCGCCUUGGGUUUGUCGCCGCCAUGGGGAAGCGACAACACCAGAAGGACAAGAUGUACAUCACCUGCGCUGAGUACACUCACUUCUAUGGUGGCAGGAAGCCAGAUAUCACACAGACAAGUUUUCGCCGCUUACCUUUUGACCACUGUAGUCUCUCCCUGCAGCCUUUUGUCUACCCAGUCUGCACCCUGAA
Long non-coding RNA from Peromyscus leucopus (white-footed mouse), 250 nucleotides. RefSeq lists it as uncharacterized. The record is from RefSeq and is a predicted model, not a curated record. NCBI's taxonomy places the organism in Eukaryota, Metazoa, Chordata, Mammalia, Rodentia, Cricetidae. The transcript has 4 exons.